AGCGCGGGUGCGAGUCGGAGGGUGCAAGCCCGUGGGCGAAGUGAAAGCGAGUUUAAAAACGAGCAGUUUGGGGCGGCAUAAGAUCGUUGAUCUUAAGACCGACCCAGAGCAGUUGCGCUGGGACCCGAAAGAUGGUGAACUAUGCCGGAGUAGGGCAAAGCCAGAGGAAACUCUGGUGGAGGCUCGUAGCGGUGCUGACGUGCAAAUCGCUCGUCGAACUUGGGUAUAGGGGCGAAAGACUAAUCGAACCAUCUAGUAGCUGGUUCCCUCCGAAGUUUCUCUCAGGAUAGCGGGCCGACAAGUUGUUUUGUGCGGUAAAGCGAAUGAUUAGCGCAUUCGGGGGCGUUUAGCCUUCGGGCGAUUCUCAAACUUUCAAUGCGCAAGGGUGCCGCUGCUUAAUUGAGCGGUACCGGUAAAAACGUCGGCCCUGUGGGCCACUUUUGGUAAGCAGAACUGGCGAUACGGGAUGAACCGUAAGCAAGGUUAAGGCGCCAAACUGCCCGCUUAUAGACCCCACAAAAGGUGUUGAUUCAUCGAGACAGCAGGACGGUGGCCAUGGAAGUCGGAAUCCGCCAAGGAGUGUGUAACAACUCACCUGCCGAAUGAAUUAGCCCUGAAAAUGGAUGGCGCUGAAGCGGGCGGCCGACACCUUGCCGUCUGAACAAGAAUUUCAGAUGAGUAGGAGGGCGUGGCGGCCGUGUCGAAGCAUGCGUGCAGACGCUUGUGAAACGGCCGCUAGUGCAGAUCUUGGUGGUAGUAGCAAGUAUUCAAGCGAGAUCCUUGAAGGGCGAAGUGGGGAAGGGUUUCACGCGAACAUUGAUUGGGCGUGAGUGAGUCGUUCCUAAGCCGAGUGGCAAUUGCUAAUUAACGGCGAAAGGGAAGCGGGUUGACAUUCCCGCACACGGAUGUGGAGGCGGCGACGCAUUAUUGGGGCGAACACGCUGGCGAUGGCGCUGGGCAGAGUUGUCUUUUCUGUUUGACCGCUUGCGCACGCAGUGUGGAAUCCUCUUAUAGGGAGAAACACGCGUGUACGGGCAGAGCGCUGGGGCUUUUCCAGCGUCCAGCUCGCCAUCGACGGCCCUUGAAACUUUGCCUGCUG
This 1099-nucleotide ribosomal RNA is filed under the name Gymnogongrus flabelliformis. RNAcentral describes it as "eukaryotic LSU rRNA". It matches the Rfam family "Eukaryotic large subunit ribosomal RNA", at positions 677 to 1828 of the family's 3401-position model. Lineage: Eukaryota; Rhodophyta; Florideophyceae; Gigartinales; Phyllophoraceae. The record is from RNAcentral.